RNAcentral lists this microRNA precursor (89 nucleotides) under Hordeum vulgare. Its description in RNAcentral is "miR6212 stem-loop (hvu-MIR6212)". The record is from miRBase by way of RNAcentral. Lineage: Eukaryota; Viridiplantae; Streptophyta; Magnoliopsida; Poales; Poaceae.
CUAAUACAGUUUACAAUGCACGAUGCAUCGCCUCAGUUAUGUGUACAGAAAAUUUUGGGGCAACGUCCGAGUGUUCUAGACAGUAUACA